Molecule: long non-coding RNA, 597 nt
Organism: Haliotis rubra (blacklip abalone)
Lineage: Eukaryota; Metazoa; Mollusca; Gastropoda; Lepetellida; Haliotidae
Exons: 4
Source: RefSeq, a predicted model, not a curated record
CUUCAAGAGCUUGUGAAUUGUCGGUUAAAUUACGUCACGGCAAGUGAAGAAUACAUUACUGUGUAACACUUCUUCCAUGUUCUGCCCUGUCUGAUAACGGCGGUGGGAACGGCGGUGGGAACGGCGUAUUCUUCCUCCAAGAAGCGAGGUGCGGAUCUCAUAACUACCGCCAGCACCUGUCCCGUUGCAGAUAAAGAGAUAAAGGCGUUUGGAUCUUAUCUACAGCCUGAUGAUGUGCGAGUGUCGGGUGUUGUGCUUGCUGAUGGCGCUGAUGGUCGCCCUUGAGUCAUCAUCAGCACUGAUUUCACCCAGAGACGACGUGAACCCCAUUUGUCUGACGACGACGUAGACGCUGAUCGCCCACCCCACUAAAUGUGCCCAGUACUACAACUGCAGCGCCCCCGCCGCUAAACGGUCCUGGGGGAGGAACCUACAGGAAUGUCAACCCCCACAACUGUACAACCCCGACACCCAGAGAUGUGAGCACUACAGCAUGGUCACGUGUGGCAACAGGACAGAACCCCUUGGGAAAUGUGACUAUGCCAGGUAUGCAUGUCUUGGGGGAAAGGACUGCGGGCCGCCCUGUUACAUCCACAC